Molecule: ribosomal RNA, 253 nt
Filed under: uncultured bacterium
Lineage: Bacteria
Description: partial 16S ribosomal RNA
Rfam family: Bacterial small subunit ribosomal RNA
Source: RNAcentral
UACGUAGGGCGCAAGCGUUGUCCGGAAUUAUUGGGCGUAAAGAGCUCGUAGGCGGUCUGUUGCGUCCGCUGUGAAAACCCAGGGCUUAACCCUGGGCUUGCAGUGGAUACGGGCAGACUAGAGGCAGGUAGGGGAGAAUGGAAUUCCUGGUGUAGCGGUGGAAUGCGCAGAUAUCAGGAGGAACACCGGUGGCGAAGGCGGGUCUCUGGGCCGUUACUGACGCUGAGGAGCGAAAGCGUGGGGAGCGAACAGG